ACUCCUACGGGAGGCAGCAGUGGGGAAUCUUGCGCAAUGGGCGAAAGCCUGACGCAGCGACGCCGCGUGGGCGAAGAAGGCCUUCGGGUUGUAAAGCCCUGUGGGGGAGAACGAACCGUACGGGGGCGAAUACCCUCCGUGCCUGACGGUACUCCUUUAGCAAGCAUCGGCUAACUCUGUGCCAGCAGCCGCGGUAAU
Molecule: ribosomal RNA, 198 nt
Filed under: uncultured bacterium
Lineage: Bacteria
Description: partial 16S ribosomal RNA
Rfam family: Bacterial small subunit ribosomal RNA
Source: RNAcentral